UUGAUCCUGGCUCAGAAUCAACGCUGGCGGUGUCCUUACACAUGCAAGUCGAUCGAGAAAGGGGGCAACUCCCUGAGUACAGCGGGCGCACGGGUGAGUAACACGUGGGAAUCUGCCCUGGAGUGGGGAAUAACACCGGAAACUCGGUGCUAAUACCGCAUACGAUAACGAGGUCUUCGAACUCUGUUAUGAAAGGAGCAAUUCGCUCUAGAAGGAGCCCGCGGCUGUUUGCUAGUUGGUGAGGUAACGGCUCACCAAGGCUACGAUCAAGUAUCCGUCUGAGAGGACGGCCGGACACACUGGAACUGAGACACGGUCCAGACUCCUACGGGAGGCAGCAGUGGGGAAUUUUUCGCAAUGGGGGCAACCCUGACGAAGCAACGCCGCGUGGGUGAUGAAGUCUCUUGGGACUGUAAAACCCUUUCGACGGGGAAGAAACCGCAAGGUUGACGG
Molecule: ribosomal RNA, 453 nt
Filed under: uncultured bacterium
Lineage: Bacteria
Description: bacterial SSU rRNA
Rfam family: Bacterial small subunit ribosomal RNA
Source: RNAcentral